ACGACCUUUGCACCGUGGUGUUUCUCAUUUAGCAGCUGCCCCAGAGCCCUGCCGAGAAAGCGGUGGGUGAUGCGCAGAGAGCUCGGAGGAUGGGCAUGGCAGGUCAUCGCGGGACAAUGUGGCUUCUUCCCGUUGUCCUCCUUUUCCUUCAGAUGAUGCAGACAGUCAUACCAGGUGAUGCAAGGUCAACUUGGGAACUGUGAGCACAUCUGCAAAACUGAAGCUGGAGUCUUAUAUUCUUGUGCUGCUGGCUAUGCCCUGGGCAAUGACAAAACCUGUGUUUCUGUAGGUACAAAGCCACAUUUAUAGUUCAUUCUAUGGGACACAUCACGUCUGUACCACGUUUGGGAAAUGCUGAUGUGUUGCAGUGCCACUGUAGUAUAAAGAAUAAUGUUAAUUGUGCAGGCCUCUCACAUGGCUUACUUAAGCUGUUGAUAAUAAAUUUAGUAAGACCUUAGCUAAAGGACGUAACUCUAAGUAACAUCAAAUUAUGCAGCUGUGAGGGAUGUGUGGCAGCAAAAAUAGCUCAAGAAAGUAUUCUGUGCAAUUGAGUGUGUUCUCUCAGGGGACUACAAAACCCAUGUCCUGGCAGGGGUAAAGCCAUAUCAGAAGCUGGUGAUUACAACAGGGCUCAGGUUCCUCUUCUCCCAAAGACUGAAACAGGCCUUUCAUGCUAUGGAGGAUUUUAUUAGAAAGUAACAGGUUAGAUUUCUGAUUGAUAAAAGUUGGUGUCUAUUUUCAAGGUCUUUGGGACAUGCUGAACACCUACAGAUCCAAAUAAGUGGAAAUCCGAGAAACUUCUCCCUUUACAGUACACAGUUCACAAGGAUUCAUCAUCAUCUCAGUGGUAGUAACAUAAUAUGACUGAGUUAUAACUCACUUGUUUCUCGUCAAAUAUCACCUGUUCAAUUUGAAAGAAAUACAAUCUGCCUUUCUCUUUUCUUCUGACAACUGCAGGUUUUCUGCAGUUAACACGUGGCAACCUAAAUACAUUAAUAACAAGUUACACUUUGCCUUCAUUCAAAUUGACCAUUGCCAUGAAAGUUGGAACUACUUCAAUGUUUCUGUGGCAGUACAUUCUUUACAGAAACAAGCUGGACUAGAAUAAUAUCAAAGCAAGACAGUAUCAGAGUUGGACAGCACUUUAAAAGCCUCUGAAAAGGCUACCUGAUUUUCUAGAUCUAUAAGCAUGUAUACAGGAAAAAACCUAGAAAAUGUGAAAACCACUCAUGUGCCGGCAAUCUCCGGCAAAUGGGACGGGGGGCCCGGACAAGUGUUCCAGGAGCUUUUAUCGGUCUCACAUACAGAGUUGAGACAAAGUUGGUACAGAGCUCAUGCUGUCACAGAGACAUCCCCUGAUUUCCUGGCUGCAAAGCAUUCUUAAAAGCUUUUUUGGCCAAUAGUGUGCUUCUAAAAGUAACAGACAUCUGUCUUAACCUAUCUAUAAUAGCGCAUGUACCUCCAUUGUACACAACAGUCACUUGUUAUGCCUUAUAUAAUAACAUACAACAUCCCAUUAUUAAGCUUAAACUUACCUCUCUAACAAAAUAUACUUUUUGCAACCUCAGCAUCCAUCUAGGCCAAGCCUAAGAACUAACCAUUGUCUUUUAAUGUCCUUGCUGCUUAUAACUGUAUCUUCUUCUAAUUUUCCCAGGCAAAGCUGAAUUCUAAAUCCCUUACUUUAUUUCCUGAGGUCUGCUUCUAUUUCUCACACCUAAAAUCCUUUCCACCUUUUGUGAUUCCCCACAGUCAUGUAUCCACAAGAGUCUAAUUAACAGUGCAUGUCACUGAGUGAAAUGAGCUGUUAGAUGAAGUUCAUUGAAUUGGAAAGGCUUGGUUAUCGUCACCAAAAUCACUGCUCUUCUGAUAUCUUCUUGCUUUCUUUCUGAGAUACUUUCUUCACCAGUGUUAUUGAUAGAAUGAUUUUGGCUAUAAUAAAGUGAAUGCAUUGCAUACCCUAAAAA
This is a long non-coding RNA of Corvus hawaiiensis (hawaiian crow), 1964 nucleotides long. RefSeq lists it as uncharacterized. The transcript is spliced from 2 exons. The record is from RefSeq and is a predicted model, not a curated record. Lineage: Eukaryota; Metazoa; Chordata; Aves; Passeriformes; Corvidae.